GUAUGACUUGCUGCGAGGGUUGGGACAGGGAACCAAAAUGGCGGACAUUUGAUAUGGAUACAACAACUUGACAGUCCCGGAAACAACCUCCUGAGCCGUCGGAAGCUACAAGGACCAACAACACUGUUGACGUAUAUGACACCACUGAUGAAACACUGCUGACCUGAGGGACAGUAUAUGAUGCCACUGAUGAAACACUGCUGACCUGAGGGACAGUAUAUGACACCACUGAUGAAACACUGCUGACCUGAGGGACAGUAUAUGAUGCCACUGAUGAAACACUGCUGACCUGAGGGACAGUAUAUGACACCACUGAUGAAACACUGCUGACCUGAGGGACAGACUCAUAUAUGACGCCACUGAUGAAACACUGCUGACAUGUUGGAGGAGCCGUGAUAUAAGGUGCUGUGCUGUGUUGCUGCAGGACCAGACGUCUCCUCCUGUGUCAAGUACAACUUAUUACAGAAAUAUCAAGAUACACCAUAUGUAUGGCACUUAGAUAAAAUACUUAACAAUGG
Homarus americanus (American lobster) is the source of this 518-nucleotide long non-coding RNA. RefSeq lists it as uncharacterized. The record is from RefSeq and is a predicted model, not a curated record. The transcript is spliced from 3 exons. NCBI's taxonomy places the organism in Eukaryota, Metazoa, Arthropoda, Malacostraca, Decapoda, Nephropidae.